CGAAAGCCUGACGGAGCAACGCCGCGUGAGGGAUGGAGGCCUUUGGGCUGUAAACCUCUUUUCUCAAGGAAGAAGAUCUGACGGUACUUGAGGAAUAAGCCACGGCUAAUUCCGUGCCAGCAGCCGCGGUAAUACGGGAGUGGCAAGCGUUAUCCGGAAUUAUUGGGCGUAAAGCGUCCGCAGGCGGCCGUUUAAGUCUGUUGUUAAAUCGUGGAGCUCAACUCCAUCACGGCAAUGGAAACUGUUCGGCUUGAGUAUGGUAGGGGCAGAGGGAAUUUCCGGUGUAGCGGUGAAAUGCGUAGAUAUCGGGAAGAACACCAGUGGCGAAAGCGCUCUGCUGGGCCAUUACUGACGCUCAUGGACGAAAGCCAGGGGAGCGAAAGGGAUUAGAUACCCCUGUAGUCCUGGCCGUAAACGAUGAACACUAGAUGUUGGGGGAAUCGACCCCCUCGGUGUCGUAGCUAACGCGUUAAGUGUUCCGCCUGGGGAGUACGCACGCAAGUGUGAAACUCAAAGGAAUUGACGGGGGCCCGCACAAGCGGUGGAGUAUGUGGUUUAAUUCGAUGCAACGCGAAGAACCUUACCAAGGCUUGACAUCCUGCGAAUCUCUAAGAAAUUAGAGAGUGCCUUCGGGAACGCAGUGACAGGUGGUGCAUGGCUGUCGUCAGCUCGUGUCGUGAGAUGUUGGGUUAAGUCCCGCAACGAGCGCAACCCACGUUUUUAGUUGCCAGCAUUCAGUUGGGCACUCUAGAAAGACUGCCGGUGACAAACCGGAGGAAGGUGUGGACGACGUCAAGUCAUCAUGCCCCUUACGCCUUGGGCUACACACGUACUACAAUGCUGCGGACAAAGAGUAGCGAUCUUGCGAAAGUUAGCUAAUCUCACAAACCGUGGCUCAGUUCAGAUCGUAGGCUGCAACUCGCCUACGUGAAGGAGGAAUCGCUAGUAAUCGCAGGUCAGCAUACUGCGGUGAAUACGUUCCCGGGCCUUGUACACACCGCCCGUCACACCAUGGAAGUUGGCCAUGCCCGAAGUCGUUACUCUAACCUUUUGGAAGAGGGCGCCGAAGGCAGGGCUAAUGACUGGGGUGAAGUCGUAACAAGGUAGCCGUAGCGGAAGCUGCGGCUGGAUCACCUCCUAA
Molecule: ribosomal RNA, 1141 nt
Filed under: Candidatus Synechococcus spongiarum
Lineage: Bacteria; Bacillati; Cyanobacteriota; Cyanophyceae; Synechococcales; Synechococcaceae
Description: bacterial SSU rRNA
Rfam family: Bacterial small subunit ribosomal RNA
Source: RNAcentral